This 536-nucleotide ribosomal RNA is filed under the name uncultured bacterium. RNAcentral's name for it is "bacterial SSU rRNA". It matches the Rfam family "Bacterial small subunit ribosomal RNA", at positions 777 to 1320 of the family's 1533-position model. The record is from RNAcentral.
AAUAGAUACCCGGGUAGUCCACGCCGUAAACUAUGAUUACUCGAUGUCGGCGAUAUACUGUCGGUGUCCAAGCGAAAGUGAUAAGUAAUCCACCUGGGGAGUACGAUCGCAAGGUUGAAACUCAAAGGAAUUGACGGGGGCCCGCACAAGCGGUGGAGCGUGUGGUUUAAUUCGAUGAUACGCGAGGAACCUUACCUGGGCUUGAAUGCAUUAUGACCGUCCCGGAAACGGGACUUUCUUCGGACAGAAUGCAAGGUGCUGCAUGGUUGUCGUCAGCUCGUGCUGUGAGGUGUCGGGUUAAGUCCCAUAACGAGCGCAACCCCUAUUCUUAGUUGCCAGCGGGUAAUGCCGGGGACUCUAAGAAACUGCCCGCGUAAGCGGUGAGGAAGGUGGGGAUGACGUCAAAUCAUCACGGCCCUUACGUCCAGGGCUACACACGUGCUACAAUGGUCAGUACAAAGGGCAGCUACCUGGUGACAGGAUGCUAAUCUCGAAAACUGAUCUCAGUUCGGAUCGAAGUCUGCAACUCGACUUCG